CAUCUGGAUAUACAAAGAUAAGUUUAAUGACUGAACGACACAUGCACGUGCAUGCAUGCACUUAUUGGUACUAUAUAUACGAACCUGAACAUGUAGUAUCUGAGUCACUAUCCAUAGUUACUGCGUCUAAACAGACAUCAACAUGAGGUGGAUUGACAGAAAAGGACGGUAGAGAAGGAGGCUCUGGGACAUGAGUGUGCAUUCAAUUAUGAUCAUAAUCAGUAUAAAUUAUGUAUAUAGGCCUAGCCUGAAACAAAAUAUAUGAUGAAUCAUUGGGAUGGUUAAUGUUAUAUAACGGUAAAAGAACACAUGCAUGCUUAUACACAUGCAUGCUUAUACUCCAAUGGUAUAUAUGAAACUCAGUAAAGUAUGACUCAUGUUAUGACAACUUUAUGAAGGUCACAAAUUAGUGUUCAAUUUUACAAUUUUUAUGCACAAAUGCAUGGGCUUAUAACUAUAGUGAAGUGUUUCGUAAAUUAUUGACAAAAAAACAAAUGAUAAUUUAUACAAUAAAUUAUUGUGAUAAUAAAAUGGAGCGGUGGAUCAAGUUCCAUAGACUAAAGUUACCUUCUGCCAUAAUGGUAGUAGAAAUCUCUGCAAUACGUAUCCAACUACCGUCCUUCUUACAAUACAACCGUUUGUGCUUCUUAAAAGUUUUAGAAACCAAACUCAGAUCACAGUGGGGACAUAUCUGCCUGUUGGCAAGAGAUGGGUUGGACAACUUUAUCUUCUUGCUUUCUGAUCUAAGCGCGCAGUAAGAAAGCUGGAACUGGAUGCCAUGUUUACAUAAUACCACAUACGUACUUCUAAGCAAAGAGCACCUAAGAUUAAGAAAGUUGGUGAUAGUAUCCAGGUUGCUUCAAGCUUGGCUGGCUCUCUUGAGGUCAUUAGCAAUGAGCAAGAAAUCUUUACGAUCGAGUACCCGCCCGCUCGAAUCAAGGCAGAGUUGAGGGCGGCACUUCCGAUAUCUACACAUGCGCAGUAUUAUUAGGAGCAUAUGGUCAGCCAGCUGCACAGCACAGUACACAGUUCUCUAGCUCGAUUGGCUCGCAACUUAAACUUAGAAGCUUUUGACUUAAGUGAUCAUGAAUUAAGUGAUAGCUGCAGCAAUGGAUCAUUGGAUAGGCGGCAGUCCUCAAAAGAGACGGCGUCCGGCGUUCGCUUCCAGUUCUAGUGAAGACGAGGACAGCGAUGGCCUAGAACAAUCGUCAACACCACCCAAAAGGUCAACACCACCCAAAAGAACAAAGAAGAAAAAGAAGUCCCUCCAGGCUGCUAGUUCUACCAGCUCCAAUGUCAUGAUUUUAAAGGAACUACAGAAAACUAACUCAGCAAUUGAAAAGCUUGUGUCUACAGUAAAGACUACCCAGAGAAGAGUAAGAAAUGUUGAAGAGCAGAUUUCCAGCUCGUCUUGUAGCACUCCAAAGAGGAAAAAGAAAAAUGUCCCUGAUGAAGUUAGACGUGAAACAAGACGGAUCUACGGUGGGAUACAGAAAACUUCCUUGGGUGGAAAAUCGAGCCUGGGUAAUUAAGUGUCUUAUUUUUCUUGCCAAGUUUAGGGUAAUAUUCAAAGAUGACCAAAACCAAGUGACUUUAAAUCGCUUACUCAAGGAGGUUAAGGCUUUAAACUCGGGAUUCCUCACUGAGCAUAUCAAAGACGCUGCUUAUCGAUUUUAUCGUUCACGUAACGAGGAGGAGUCAUCUCGUAGGCGAGGAAAACUAGGAGCCAAAAACAAAAGCAAAAGAAAACAUGAACGGCUUUGAACGGCUUGCGAGGCUAUUCACGCUAUGUUGGAAAAAGCUUCUUUUCUGACAGCUUCAGAUAAAGAAAAAUGGGUAGUGGUGCUGUGUCCUCAACUCACUUGAAGUGAUGAAAGCGAUAUAGAUGAUGAUGGGACAGAGAUCAUAAAAAGGCAUGCAUUGCCCUGGCUGAGUUUAAAAGAAGAAUUGAUGAUGCCAGCCUCAAAGACAAGAGCCCUCAAGCAAAGACACAAACAAAGCAGAGAGUUGAGGGAGAGCUCUCUAGUCGGAAAACGCCUAGCGAAGAGAAGUUCCCUCCUUGGGCAUUCGUAUGAUCAUGACUAUAAUAAACAAUGUCUACAUUAUGCAUAUAGACAACAUUUAGUCCCUAUAUAUACAUGUAGUUCUCACUGUCUUAUAUAUUUGG
This is a long non-coding RNA of Halichondria panicea, 2167 nucleotides long. RefSeq lists it as uncharacterized. The transcript is spliced from 4 exons. The record is from RefSeq and is a predicted model, not a curated record. NCBI's taxonomy places the organism in Eukaryota, Metazoa, Porifera, Demospongiae, Suberitida, Halichondriidae.